UUCCCCAUUUUUCCCGCUGUUUUUCCGGCAGCACCACGGUGGAUCCCAAGGAAAAGCUGGAAUUCCUGGGCGGCGCCUGCCGGGCUCUGGCGGCUCCGGGCUCGCGGCUCCCGAUGGACGAACUCCUGCCCCUGCUGCUCUUCGUGGUGGCCAGAGCCAGGAUCCAACACCUGGGAGCCGAAAUCCACCUGAUCCGGGAUUUCAUGGAUCCAUCCCAGCAGGGCGGAAUGUCAGAUUUCCUGCUCACGGCGCUCGAGUCGUGCUACGAACACAUCCAAAGGAUCCGGAUUCAUCCCAAAGAAAAUUCCCACAGUUCCUGAUCCCUUGGGAAAAAUCUUCUUCAUCCCGAAUUUUCCAGCUGGAAAAAUCGGGAAUUUCAUCCCUGGCUGCUUUUAAGGGAAGGAAUUCCUCCCCAGCUGAGGUUUUCCCAUCCCAAAAAUCACUGGAAAAGCUGGAAUUCCA
Molecule: non-coding RNA, 462 nt
Organism: Cyanistes caeruleus (blue tit)
Lineage: Eukaryota; Metazoa; Chordata; Aves; Passeriformes; Paridae
Source: RefSeq, a predicted model, not a curated record